RNAcentral lists this ribosomal RNA (253 nucleotides) under uncultured bacterium. RNAcentral's name for it is "partial 16S ribosomal RNA". It matches the Rfam family "Bacterial small subunit ribosomal RNA", at positions 524 to 776 of the family's 1533-position model. The record is from RNAcentral.
UACGAAGGGGGCUAGCGUUGCUCGGAAUUACUGGGCGUAAAGCGCACGUAGGCGGAUUGUUAAGUCGGGGGUGAAAUCCUGGAGCUCAACUCCAGAACUGCCUUUGAUACUGGGGAUCUCGAGUCCGGGAGAGGUGAGUGGAACUGCGAGUGUAGAGGUGAAAUUCGUAGAUAUUCGCAAGAACACCAGUGGCGAAGGCGGCUCACUGGCCCGGUACUGACGCUGAGGUGCGAAAGCGUGGGGAGCAAACAGG